Molecule: long non-coding RNA, 350 nt
Organism: Neltuma alba
Lineage: Eukaryota; Viridiplantae; Streptophyta; Magnoliopsida; Fabales; Fabaceae
Exons: 3
Source: RefSeq, a predicted model, not a curated record
CCUUAACCUGUGGAAUCGUUAUGGCUUAUGUGUUUCUUCUUUUUUAAUAUAUCUUUGUUCCUUUAAUGUCCAAGUCCUUCUCUUCAAAGAGAAAAUCCUGAUCUUUAGAAUAGAUGAUCUAUUAAUUCCAUCUUAAAUAUAAAGGGUGAUUGCUGAAAUCGAAGGCCCUGCUAGUACUGUGCUUUAAGGCCACCCUAGAUGAAUCUUUGUAAAAGCUUGCUGGAGAUCUGGUACUGUUCUGAAACUAAGGCCACCCUUAAUGAAUCUUUGUAAAAGCUUGCUGGAGAUCUGGUGAGGCUCUUGCUAAGAUGUGGUAGCAGAUUUGAUCAUGCAUCAAGUGAUUCACUGUG